RNAcentral lists this long non-coding RNA (74 nucleotides) under Cyanistes caeruleus (blue tit). Its description in RNAcentral is "lncRNA (ENSCCEG00000013883.1)". The record is from RNAcentral. Lineage: Eukaryota; Metazoa; Chordata; Aves; Passeriformes; Paridae.
CAAAGCGACUCCCUACUUCCUCCUCUAGCCCACACCUUUCAGUACGUGCCUGCAAGGCUUUGGGACUGGCCUGC